This 743-nucleotide ribosomal RNA is filed under the name Fuscopannaria olivacea. Its description in RNAcentral is "SSU rRNA". It matches the Rfam family "Bacterial small subunit ribosomal RNA", at positions 358 to 1199 of the family's 1533-position model. Lineage: Eukaryota; Fungi; Ascomycota; Lecanoromycetes; Peltigerales; Pannariaceae. The record is from RNAcentral.
GGAAGGUAUAGCAAUAGCUAAUUGUAUUAACAAAUAGUUUUUACAAUAUCGAUUUAAUCGGCUAAAAUUCUAGGUAGAUUUAUGAUGAUGACAUUAUCUAUCUAUGUGUCUUGACCAAAUUACGUGCCAGCUGUCGCGGUAAGACGUAGGAGACUAGUGUUAUUCAUCUUUAAUAGGUUUAAAGCGUACCUAGACGGUAAUUAAAGCCUACAUCAGGUACUUGUUUACUAGAGUUAAAUGUAAGGGUGUAUUAAAGUACUGUUGAGUGUAGAGAUGAAAUUCGUUGAUACCAAAUAAUUGGCACAGGUAUAGGCGAAAGCAUCACUUUAUGUAAUAACUGACGUUGACGGACGAAGGCUUUGUGUCGCGAACAGGAUUAGAUACCCCAGUAGUCUUAGCAGAAAAUUAUGAGUGUCAUAGGUUAGAUUAUAUCUGGUCUAUAAAUGAAAGUGUAAGCACUCCACCUCAAGAGUAAUUUGGCAACAUUGGAACUGAAAUCAUUAGACCGUUUCUGAAACCAGUAGUGAAGUAUGUUGUUUAAUUUGAUGAUCCGCAAAGAACCUUACCACAAUUUGAAUAUAAAUGAUUUAUUUUUACAAGCGUUGCACGGCUGUCUUCAGUUAAUGUCGUGAGAUAUUGGUUUAUUCCAUUAAAUUAACGUAAACCCGUACUUUAUUUUUAUAUAAAGUUUUUCAUUCGCUAUAAUGGAUGUGAUAACAGGGACUAAGACAAGUCAUCAUGGC